GCGAUCCAAAUGUAAUUCAUAGAUAUUUUAUUAUCCUGUCCAGGUACUGAGACUGAAGAAGUGCAUUAUAUGUAUAUGAAUCUGUUAGUUCCCAAAGGGCACAAUAGAUCUAGAAGGGGGUUGAAUAGAUCCUUUUUAUUUUAAAUACUUUUCUGGUUUAUAUUAUAUUGUUCAUAAUCAACAUAUGACAAACUUAGAAGCUUUCUCAUGCUUGACACCAAGAUGGCUUUUGUGAUCUCCCUUCUACUACUUGAUGCCUUCUCAUGAUGGACUUGCUAAGAUGACUGUAGGCUCUUCUCUAUUGUACUUAGAGUCUUCCCAUGAUGGACACCAAGAUGACAUAAUGCUCUUCAUUCUCUCGGCAGUUCUGAACACUCUUCAUGUAGUAGAACUCUCACUUCUACAUAGUAGAACUCACACUUCUACUUCUUUCUUUAUCUGACUUCUGAGUGUUCUUGGUGGAUCGUAGAGUGAACCUUCUGACUCACUGUUUCACAUGUUUUAGAUCAGUCCACCUUCUCUCCAAACUCGGCAACUCCAGCAACCUUUGAUCUUUGAAGCUCUUCCUUAUUUAUACUCAUUCCCAAUCCUUCCGUUGGAAAGUAGCCGUUGAAGGCUACUCAAAUCUCUUCACAGAUCUCGAGUUACUUGAGGUAGACUGCUUGAUGUGACUUGUCAUACUUUUUUGACGUUGCAGUUUACUGUUUCACCUACCCUGUCAGAUGUAUCACUUUAAUGUCUUGGGCAGGUUGAAGACUUUAUUACCUCUUUUUGAUUUCUCGAUUAGAGCUUGUCCUAUUGCAUCGAUGCUCUCAAUAAGCACUUGUCCAAAUAUUACCCUUAAGAUUGAACCUUUGCCAAUGCUUCAAUCUUCAGUUAUUCGGACUCUACGAUUCUAAUGCAUGUCUUCAAGGACUCGAUCGUAGUGUCUUGUUGAGUGUUGCUCAUUGACUGGUAGAGUUAACACUACGAUCUUGAAGAGUUUUGAUUGGAUCUUUAAUGUAGAACACUUCUUCCUUGUAUUGUGUAGUGCUUCAAUACUUCUGUUUGCCUCAACUGCUCUUAGAGACUGAUGGCCUAAUUCCUUGUUCUGGUCCCCUUCUGAAUAUCAAGACACUUCAGAUUUGUGGCGCGUCCAGCUUGCUUUCUCCUUGUGAUCUCCCGUUCACUUAUCAUCAAUGAACUAACCCUGCACUUAAUCACUUUAGCCUUGCUCUUCAAAGGCUGACCAGUAUCUCGGUUCACCUUUCAUCAGUUCCUUCUUUGUUUGGCAGACACUAUGAUCUUGGUUGCUUCCAAGAUCGUUGUCUUCUAUUCACUUGAUAGCUACUGCAUAAGCUGACUUUCCUUGGUCAGGUUCUGAAGUCUUCUUUGGAUAUCCUUGUGGAAGACUUCAUCACGAAUGGCCUUACAACUCAAUCUUGAUGCUUAUUGGGUUGGUGCUUAGAUCUUCUGUUAGCCUGCAUGCCAUUCGUUGAGUGCUCUCUAGAUUCCUUGGAUGUAGCUUGCAGCUUGAACCAGAGGCUUCGUUCCUUUGGAUAUUCUGGGAGUGCUCAUAUGUUGAGAACCGUAUAUGCUCUACGAUUCUUCCUUGGCACUGUGAGCACUUCUGUUGAGGUCGUAGUUCUGCACUCUACGAUUAAGCUUCGGCUGGUGCAGACACUACGAUCCCGAGAUCAGAUCUUGACACUCUACGAUGUCUGCCUUGUGCUUGUUGUCUUCAUCUGAUCUUGCUUGACUACGAUCUCUUCAUGUAAUCAAUAAACUCUACGAACUCAGAGUGUGAUCUACGAUCCUUGACUUGGCUUUGGCAUCAGUAGACUCUACGACUCUGAGUGUAGUCUACGUUUCUAUCUUGGCUUCGGCAGAUGACUGGUCGGCUCGUAGGCAGGCUGUCUCUACGAUUCUGAACAUGACUUCCUCAGCACACUACGAUCCCAAGGAAGCUCUACUCGAUACACUACGAUCCUUCUUCGUUUCCCCUGGCAGUCUACGAACUCCGAGAUCUACUAUCUUGCAUACUCC
RNAcentral lists this long non-coding RNA (2025 nucleotides) under Panax ginseng (ginseng). RNAcentral describes it as "long non-coding RNA (PGIN_LNC001245)". The record is from RNAcentral. Lineage: Eukaryota; Viridiplantae; Streptophyta; Magnoliopsida; Apiales; Araliaceae.